GGACCCGCACAAGCGGUGGAUGAUGUGGUUUAAUUCGAUGCAACGCGAAAAACCUUACCCACCUUUGACAUGUACGGAAUCCUGCAGAGAUGCGGGAGUGCUCGAAAGAGAGCCGUAACACAGGUGCUGCAUGGCUGUCGUCAGCUCGUGUCGUGAGAUGUUGGGUUAAGUCCCGCAACGAGCGCAACCCUUGCCAUUAGUUGCUACGAAAGGGCACUCUAAUGGGACUGCCGGUGACAAACCGGAGGAAGGUGGGGAUGACGUCAAGUCCUCAUGGCCCUUAUAGGUGGGGCUACACACGUCAUACAAUGGCUGGUACAAAGGGUUGCCAACCCGCGAGGGGGAGCCAAUCCCAUAAAGCCAGUCGUAGUCCGGAUCGCAGUCUGCAACUCGACUGCGUGAAGUCGGAAUCGCUAGUAAUCGCGGAUCAGAAUGUCGCGGUGAAUACGUUCCCGGGUCUUGUACACACCGCCCGUCACACCAUGGGAGCGGGUUCUGCCAGAAGUAGGUAGCCUAACCGCAAGGAGGGCGCUUACCACGGCAGGGUUCGUGACUGGGGUGAAGUCGUAACAAGGUAGCCGUAUCGGAAGGUGCGGCU
RNAcentral lists this ribosomal RNA (598 nucleotides) under uncultured Ottowia sp. Its description in RNAcentral is "bacterial SSU rRNA". It matches the Rfam family "Bacterial small subunit ribosomal RNA", at positions 917 to 1519 of the family's 1533-position model. The record is from RNAcentral. Lineage: Bacteria; Pseudomonadati; Pseudomonadota; Betaproteobacteria; Burkholderiales; Comamonadaceae.